CCUACGGGCGGCAGCAGUGGGGAAUAUUGGACAAUGGGCGAAAGCCUGAUCCAGCCAUGCCGCGUGUGUGAAGAAGGCCUUCGGGUUGUAAAGCACUUUCAGUGGGGAAGAAAGCCUUGGGGCUAAUACCCUCGAGGAAGGACAUCACCCACAGAAGAAGCACCGGCUAACUCCGUGCCAGCAGCCGCGGUAAUACGGAGGGUGCGAGCGUUAAUCGGAAUUACUGGGCGUAAAGCGCGCGUAGGCGGUCUGAUAAGCCGGUUGUGAAAGCCCCGGGCUCAACCUGGGAACGGCAUCCGGAACUGUCAGGCUAGAGUGCAGGAGAGGAAGGUAGAAUUCCCGGUGUAGCGGUGAAAUGCGUAGAGAUAGGGAGGAAUACCAGUGGCGAAGGCGGCCUUCUGGACUGACACUGACGCUGAGGUGCGAAAGCGUGGGUAGCAAACAGGAUUAGAUACCCUGGUAGUC
Molecule: ribosomal RNA, 465 nt
Filed under: Vreelandella stevensii
Lineage: Bacteria; Pseudomonadati; Pseudomonadota; Gammaproteobacteria; Oceanospirillales; Halomonadaceae
Description: partial 16S ribosomal RNA
Rfam family: Bacterial small subunit ribosomal RNA
Source: RNAcentral